Molecule: long non-coding RNA, 204 nt
Organism: Amphimedon queenslandica
Lineage: Eukaryota; Metazoa; Porifera; Demospongiae; Haplosclerida; Niphatidae
Exons: 3
Source: RefSeq, a predicted model, not a curated record
AGCUCAUUCUUAUAGGCAGGUACUACAUUUCUCUGUUCUCAAUGAAUUUGGUAUUCAUAAUUCAUUGACUCUAUCUUUAUCGCCUGAUGUGAAUGAUGUCCCUCUUUUGGUAUUUCUCUCCUCAUACUAACUCAAGAGAAUCUCGCCAAAGUCAUUAAGAGAAAGCAAUGCUGAAGAAGGCUUUAAAAUGUCUAAUUAGAACAA